Molecule: long non-coding RNA, 1127 nt
Filed under: Homo sapiens (human)
Lineage: Eukaryota; Metazoa; Chordata; Mammalia; Primates; Hominidae
Description: HSALNT0354564
Source: RNAcentral
CUUUUUUGAGGUCUUCCCUCUACUCUGCAGAAUUAAAGAGAUGGUUUAAGUGAUAAACUAUUCCUUAUGAGCUGUAUUUGUGUUGAAAGCACAGCAUGAGUUCCCAGCACGCUUCCUCUAGCACAACCACAGCUAUGCACCAAUCCUCCUGGGUUCAGAGAUGGAACUUGGGUUAAAUGCAUGGAAUUUAUUCUUAGUCCUUUUCUUAAUUACGACUUUUUAUUUCUCUGGUGUUCUCUAGGGGAGGGGUUAGAGAAGAGAGGAAAAGGAAGAAAGAAAGGGGGCAGGGAAAUAUAGAUUCAAUGCUUUUGUUUUGUUUCUGGGCUGCUUGCUAUCAGCAAAGUAGAGAGAUUUAACGGAUCUUGCCGAGAAUGCAAGCCUCAUUCCAAGGAAGCCAGAGCUCAGAAGACAUGGAACAAAUACAAUGAAAACAUAACUUGAGGUCGGAAAAUGUCCCCUGAAUAUUUAUGUCAAUGUCCUACCUUAGUGAAUAUUACUUAAUACUGUGGCUCCUUUAAAGCAUUGUGAUUUCAUUAUGAAGUCAGAUGGAAUGAGGAGUGUGUAAAUCCAGAAUCAGAAUCCCAGCGACGAAGCUUUUCUUGCUCUGUUACCUUGGAAAAUGCUUUGAACCAGACCAGAUAAGAAAAGUAAAAGUCUGGAGUGUAAUCCUUCCAAUUGUCUUUUGGCUUCUCUUCUACUUCUACAAAAAGUUCAACAAAAAUUAGAAUUUGAAACAACGGAAAGAGAGAAAUUUUAGGUUAGUAGCUAAAUCCCCAAGGAUACUAAUUAGAGAAAGAUGUUGGAAUUGCCUUAAUGAGUCACUGCCAACGCAAGUCCUAAGGAAGCAAAGACUGUGAGUAAGCAAAGGUAGCCAGCUGCUGGGAAGAGGACAAUAGAGGAAAAGGUCAGAGGGACUUUAAAAGACUGACUGUGGGCUCCCUGAGGGAAGGAGGGAUGGAGAGAGUAUCGGGUCCUAUAGAAUACCUUAAUUGUUUUUAUGACUUCUCUUUUCCAUAUCCAGUUCACAUGUACUCCUUUCUGUGCAUUAAAUUGAGUUUCUAUUGGCUUCUUUGUAACAAAAAGAACUGAACAGAAACACAUAUCUAUUGGACAAAGAGCAAUAAAAU